UAGGGAAUCUUCGGCAAUGGGGGGAACCCUGACCGAGCAACGCCGCGUGAGUGAAGAAGGUUUUCGGAUCGUAAAGCUCUGUUGUUAAGGAAGAACGAGUGUGAGAAUGGAAAGUUCAUACUGUGACGGUACUUAACCAGAAAGGGACGGCUAACUACGUGCCAGCAGCCGCGGUAAUACGUAGGUCCCGAGCGUUGUCCGGAUUUAUUGGGCGUAAAGCGAGCGCAGGCGGUUAGAUAAGUCUGAAGUUAAAGGCAGUGGCUCAACCAUUGUAGGCUUUGGAAACUGUUUAACUUGAGUGCAGAAGGGGAGAGUGGAAUUCCAUGUGUAGCGGUGAAAUGCGUAGAUAUAUGGAGGAACACCGGUGGCGAAAGCGGCUCUCUGGUCUGUAACUGACGCUGAGGCUCGAAAGCGUGGGGAGCGAACAGGAUUAGAUACCCUGGUAGUCCACGCCGUAAACGAUGAGUGCUAGGUGUUAGGUCCUUUCCGGGACUUAGUGCUGCAGCUAACGCAUUAAGCACUCCGCCUGGGGAGUACGACCGCAAGGUU
This 549-nucleotide ribosomal RNA is filed under the name uncultured bacterium. RNAcentral describes it as "bacterial SSU rRNA". It matches the Rfam family "Bacterial small subunit ribosomal RNA", at positions 355 to 895 of the family's 1533-position model. The record is from RNAcentral.